CAGUAGCCGCGGUAAUACGUAGGGUGCAAGCGUUAAUCGGAAUUACUGGGCGUAAAGCGUGCGCAGGCGGUUAUAUAAGUCAGAUGUGAAAUCCCCGGGCUCAACCUGGGAACUGCAUUUGAGACUGUAUGGCUAGAGUGUGUCAGAGGGGGGUAGAAGUCCACGUGUAGCAGUGAAAUGCGUAGAUAUGUGGAGGAAUACCGAUGGCGAAGGCAGCCCCCUGGGAUAACACUGACGCUCAUGCACGAAAGCGUGGGGAGCAAACAGGAUUAGAUACCCGAGUAGUCCAUGUCUCUUAUAC
This 301-nucleotide ribosomal RNA is filed under the name uncultured bacterium. Its description in RNAcentral is "partial 16S ribosomal RNA". It matches the Rfam family "Bacterial small subunit ribosomal RNA", at positions 509 to 807 of the family's 1533-position model. The record is from RNAcentral.